GGGUUUAAAGGGAGCGUAGGCCGGAGAUUAAGCGUGUUGUGAAAUGUAGAUGCUCAACAUCUGAACUGCAGCGCGAACUGGUUUCCUUGAGUACGCAUAAAGUGGGCGGAAUUCGUGGUGUAGCGGUGAAAUGCUUAGAUAUCACGAAGAACUCCGAUUGCGAAGGCAGCUCACUGGGGCGCAACUGACGCUGAAGCUCGAAAGCGCGGGUAUCGAACAGGAUUAGAUACCCUGGUAGUCCGCGCGGUAAACGAUGGAUGCCCGCUGUGGGCCAGCGGCCAAGCGAAAGCAUUAAGCAUCCCACCUGGGGAGUACGCCGGCAACGGUGAAACUCAAAGGAAUUGACGGGGGCCCGCACAAGCGGAGGAACAUGUGGUUUAAUUCGAUGAUACGCGAGGAACCUUACCCGGGCUUGAAUUGAAGGUGCUGCAUGGUUGUCGUCAGCUCGUGCCGUGAGGUGUCGGCUUAAGUGCCAUAACGAGCGCAACCCCUCUCCAUAGUUGCCACUCUGUGGACACUGCCACCGUAAGGUGGAGGAAGGUGGGGAUGACGUCAAAUCAGCACGGCCCUUACGUCCGGGGCUACACACGUGUUACAAUGGCAGGUACAGAGAGCCGGUCGUAUGCAAAUACGAUCCAAUCCUUAAAGCCUGUCUCAGUUCGGACUGGGGUCUGCAACCCGACCCCACGAAGCUGGAUCCGCUAGUAAUCGCGCAUCAGCAUGGCGCGGUGA
This 732-nucleotide ribosomal RNA is filed under the name uncultured bacterium. RNAcentral describes it as "bacterial SSU rRNA". It matches the Rfam family "Bacterial small subunit ribosomal RNA", at positions 556 to 1365 of the family's 1533-position model. The record is from RNAcentral.